This 682-nucleotide ribosomal RNA is filed under the name Klebsiella pneumoniae. RNAcentral describes it as "partial 23S ribosomal RNA". It matches the Rfam family "Bacterial large subunit ribosomal RNA", at positions 142 to 867 of the family's 2925-position model. The record is from RNAcentral. Lineage: Bacteria; Pseudomonadati; Pseudomonadota; Gammaproteobacteria; Enterobacterales; Enterobacteriaceae.
GUUGCACUAUCGUUAACUGAAUACAUAGGUUAACGAGGCGAACCGGGGGAACUGAAACAUCUAAGUACCCCGAGGAAAAGAAAUCAACCGAGAUUCCCCCAGUAGCGGCGAGCGAACGGGGAGCAGCCCAGAGUCUGAAUCAGCUUGUGUGUUAGUGGAACGGUCUGGAAAGUCCGACGGUACAGGGUGAUAGUCCCGUACACCAAAAUGCACAGGCUGUGAACUCGAAGAGUAGGGCGGGACACGUGGUAUCCUGUCUGAAUAUGGGGGGACCAUCCUCCAAGGCUAAAUACUCCUGACUGACCGAUAGUGAACCAGUACCGUGAGGGAAAGGCGAAAAGAACCCCGGCGAGGGGAGUGAAAAAGAACCUGAAACCGUGUACGUACAAGCAGUGGGAGCACCUUCGGGUGUGACUGCGUACCUUUUGUAUAAUGGGUCAGCGACUUAUAUUCUGUAGCAAGGUUAACCGUAUAGGGGAGCCGCAGGGAAACCGAGUCUUAACUGGGCGUUAAGUUGCAGGGUAUAGACCCGAAACCCGGUGAUCUAGCCAUGGGCAGGUUGAAGGUUGGGUAACACUAACUGGAGGACCGAACCGACUAAUGUUGAAAAAUUAGCGGAUGACUUGUGGCUGGGGGUGAAAGGCCAAUCAAACCGGGAGAUAGCUGGUUCUCCCCGAAAGCU